CAAUUCUGCACCUGAAAAACUCAAAGUUUAAGGACUUAUUUAGUUUGUCUAGCAUUUUUUCAUUGGAAUUGUCACAUCCUAAAGUGAGUCAACUUCAUUUCACUUGCAACUGUUGCAAGCUGCACCUGAAUAACUGACGUCACAUCCUAAGUGAGUCAAGUAGUCAACUUCAUUUCACUCGCAAGCUGCACAUGAAUAAAU
Molecule: long non-coding RNA, 201 nt
Organism: Daphnia magna
Lineage: Eukaryota; Metazoa; Arthropoda; Branchiopoda; Diplostraca; Daphniidae
Exons: 3
Source: RefSeq, a predicted model, not a curated record